GACGAACGCUGGCGGCGUGCCUAAUACAUGCAAGUAGGACGCAGUUGCGAACGGGUGAGUAACGCGUAGGUAACUACCUAUUAGAGGGGGAUAACUAUUGGAAACGAUAGCUAAUACCGCAUACUCGUAGAUGGACCUGCGUUGGAUUAGGUAGUAGGUGGGGUAAUGGCCUACCUAGGCAACGAAACAUAGCCGACCUGGGAGGGGGAUCGGCCAAACGGGGACUGGGACACGGCCCAGAAUCCUUCGGGAGGGAGCAGUAGGGAAUCUUCGGGAAUGGGGGGAACCCUGACCGAGCAACGCCGCGUGAGUGAAGAAGGUUUUCGGAUCGUAAAGCUCUGUUGGUAAGGAAGCGGUACUUAACCAGAAAGGGACGGCUAACUACGUGCCAGCAGCCGCGGUAAUUC
Molecule: ribosomal RNA, 407 nt
Filed under: uncultured bacterium
Lineage: Bacteria
Description: partial 16S ribosomal RNA
Rfam family: Bacterial small subunit ribosomal RNA
Source: RNAcentral